GGGUUGGAGUCAACUCGUCCAGUGUUUGGUUGAAGGAUUUGGAAAUAUGGGUUGGAUGUCAUGAUAACACCGUUAGUGAGGAUCCCACUUGACACCAGUGGACCCCACAUGUCAAUCUCUCACCUAUUUCUUUUUUUUAAUUUUUUCUCUACCUUAUCUUCUUCCACCCACCACCUUUAUCUUCUUCAACCUUCUCCUGGCGCGCGUGAAGACCCACCUCCCUCUGCUCCGAUGAGGCGCGCGGUAGAGACCCACCUCCCUCUGCUCCGGUGAAGACCCACCUCCCUCGUGCGUGCGGAGGCAGGGGGGAGGGGGUGCUCGUGCGCGCGGCCAGGCGGAGGCGGCCGCGACCCUCUCGCGCUGCAGGAGACCGGAGCGGGGC
RNAcentral lists this long non-coding RNA (382 nucleotides) under Sorghum bicolor (sorghum). RNAcentral describes it as "long non-coding RNA (SBIC_LNC005452)". The record is from RNAcentral. Lineage: Eukaryota; Viridiplantae; Streptophyta; Magnoliopsida; Poales; Poaceae.